RNAcentral lists this unclassified non-coding RNA (612 nucleotides) under Aspergillus sydowii. Its description in RNAcentral is "sequence contains ITS1, 5.8S rRNA gene and ITS2". Lineage: Eukaryota; Fungi; Ascomycota; Eurotiomycetes; Eurotiales; Aspergillaceae. The record is from RNAcentral.
AAAUGGGUUCCAUACCUGAUCCGAGGUCACCUGAAGAAAAUGGUUGGAGACGUCGGCUGGCGCCCGGCCGGCCCUAGUCGAGCGGGUGACAAAGCCCCAUACGCUCGAGGACCGGACACGGUGCCGCCGCUGCCUUUCGGGCCCGUCCCCCGGGGGGGACGACGACCCAACACACAAGCCGGGCUUGAUGGGCAGCAAUGACGCUCGGACAGGCAUGCCCCCCGGAAUGCCAGGGGGCGCAAUGUGCGUUCAAAGACUCGAUGAUUCACUGAAUUCUGCAAUUCACAUUACUUAUCGCAGUUCGCUGCGUUCUUCAUCGAUGCCGGAACCAAUAGAUCCAUUGUUGAAAGUUUUGACUGAUUUUAUAUUCAGACUCAGACUGCAUCACUCUCAGGCAUGAAGUUCAGUAGUCCCCGGCGGCUCGCCCCCGAGGGGGUUCCGCCCGGAAGCAACAGAGUUAGGCAAUCACGGUUGGUAGGGUGGGCCCCGGAAAGGGGAGGGAAUCCGGAGAAACUUAGGCGAAGAUAGCCGGAAAAACCUUUUCUCUGUAAUGUCCUUUCCGUUUGCUUUUUUUGUUUUUCUUUUCGCUCUUUUUUUCUCCCUCCUUUUUUU